AGACGACAGAAAAACAAAAUCGACCCAAAAAAAAAGUCCACAGAAACCUUCCUCCCAAGAAAGUCAGUCCUCUAAAAGGCCCCAACAACAAAUGAAAGUUCUCUCUAUUUCUCACUUGAAGCAUUUGGCAUCCAAAAGUGCUUCACCCUCAAAUGGUUCCUGGUCUUCAAUCAUUUGGUUCACCCUCUCCUUCUGGGCUUCAUCCGAGAUAUCGACCUUCUUCCACUCGUACAGCUCCAUAUCAUAGCACUCGUCAAGCACAAAUUGUGGGAUUUCUUUUCCACGGAAAAGCCAUAGUCCUUUCACCUUGUAUGGUGCCUCCGAUCCGAUCACGAGCAUCUUUCCAAAGGCAUACUUGCGAGCAAGAUCCAUUCUCUGGAGAAAUCCACCAACUUUGUUCAAAGUCACAAAUGAGACAGUAUUCUCGUCGUUGUACUUGUAAUCACAGAACCACAGGGAGUACCCUUCAGGGUCAUACAUGUCCCAGAAUCCUUUGAUUGCAACCUCACGGAAGUUCGUUUUAGUGUUGGAGUAGAGACGUUUCCACUCAUCCAAAAUCAUCGUACUAGGAGGAAGCAGGUCAAGAGGAUUUUUGGCCUUGGGCUUCGGUGCCUCCGCUUCCUCAGCAGGUGCUGCUUUGGGCUUCUCUUCUUGUUUCUUGGGCUCAGGUUUUGGUUUGGCAGCUGCUGCAGCCGCUUCAGGUGUUUUCACUGGUGGAAUGGCGUCUGUCUGCUUUACCUCACCAAUUAUCUUUUGGAAAUUUGGUUGAUUGACCAACGUCCAGAAGUACCUCUCAACAUGAGGGAACUCGGAAGUAAAGCUUUUAGUCAACACAUAAGUGAAUCCCAAAUAGAGAUUGCAUGUCAAAAUGAUAUCAGCCAGUGUCACAGCGUGUCCAACAAGGAAUGUGUUUGAAGCAAGGUAGGAGUUCAAAGCACCCAAAGCUCGUUUUAGGGCAGCAUUUGCAGCUUCUUCUACCUCAGGAUGGUAAACACCAUAUCCAAAUCUAGGCCUCACAAUAGUUGAAAUAUGAGCAUCAAUUUCCAAUGUGGAGAAAUCAAUCCAUUGUUCAACAUGUCCAUAAUCGAUCGAAGAAGAGCCAAAUAAACCGCUGUCCUUCAAACGAGCAACAUAGCGAGCUAUCGCAUUGCUCUCAAAGAUAGCACCAUCGGGUGUUU
This 1178-nucleotide unclassified non-coding RNA is filed under the name Hevea brasiliensis (rubber tree). Lineage: Eukaryota; Viridiplantae; Streptophyta; Magnoliopsida; Malpighiales; Euphorbiaceae. The record is from RNAcentral.